RNAcentral lists this ribosomal RNA (498 nucleotides) under uncultured bacterium. RNAcentral's name for it is "partial 16S ribosomal RNA". It matches the Rfam family "Bacterial small subunit ribosomal RNA", at positions 899 to 1397 of the family's 1533-position model. The record is from RNAcentral.
ACUCAAAGGAAUUGACGGGGGCCCGCACAAGCGGUGGAGCAUGUGGUUCAAUUCGACGCAACGCGAAGAACCUUACCGGGGUUUGAACCGUACGGGACAGCUGCAGAGAUUCAGUUUUCCUUCGGGACCCGUAUAGAGGUGCUGCAUGGCUGUCGUCAGCUCGUGUCGUGAGAUGUUGGGUUAAGUCCCGCAACGAGCGCAACCCUUGCCUCCUGUUGCUAACGAGUAAAGUCGAGCACUCUGGAGAGACUGCCGGUGAUAAACCGGAGGAAGGUGGGGAUGACGUCAAGUCCUCAUGGCCUUGAUGCCCCGGGCUACACACGUGCUACAAUGGUUGGUACAAAGGGUCGCAAAGCCGCGAGGUGGAGCUAAUCCCAGAAAACCAAUCCCAGUUCGGAUUGCAGUCUGCAACUCGACUGCAUGAAGCUGGAAUCGCUAGUAAUCGCGGAUCAGCACGCCGCGGUGAAUACGUUCCCGGGCCUUGUACACACCGCCCGU